Molecule: ribosomal RNA, 400 nt
Filed under: uncultured bacterium
Lineage: Bacteria
Description: bacterial SSU rRNA
Rfam family: Bacterial small subunit ribosomal RNA
Source: RNAcentral
GGGAAUAUUGGACAAUGGGCGCAAGCCUGAUCCAGCGACGCCGCGUGAGUGAAGAAGGCCUUCGGGUUGUAAAGCUCUUUUAGUGGGGAAGAUAAUGACGGUACCCACAGAAAAAGCCCCGGCUAACUUCGUGCCAGCAGCCGCGGUAAUACGAAGGGGGCUAGCGUUACUCGGAAUUAUUGGGCGUAAAGCGUGCGUAGGCUGCUUAGUAAGUCAAAAGUGAAAGCCUUGGGCUCAACCUAAGAAUUGCUUUUGAAACUACCAAGCUUGAGUACUGUAGGGGAUAGCGGAAUUCCUAGUGUAGGGGUGAAAUUCGUAGAUAUUAGGAGGAACACCGGAGGCGAAAGCGGUUAUCUGGACAGUUACUGACGCUGUUGCACGAAAGCGUGGGGAGCAAACA